This 301-nucleotide ribosomal RNA is filed under the name uncultured bacterium. Its description in RNAcentral is "partial 16S ribosomal RNA". It matches the Rfam family "Bacterial small subunit ribosomal RNA", at positions 509 to 807 of the family's 1533-position model. The record is from RNAcentral.
CAGUAGCCGCGGUAAUACGGAGGGUGCAAGCGUUAAUCGGAAUUACUGGGCGUAAAGCGCACGCAGGCGGUCUGACAAGUCAGAUGUGAAAUCCCCGGGCUUAACCUGGGAACUGCAUUUGAAACUGUCAGGCUGGAGUCUUGUAGAGGGGGGUGGAAUUCCAGGUGUAGCGGUGAAAUGCGUAGAGAUCUGGAGGAAUACCGGUGGCGAAGGCGGCCCCCUGGACAAAGACUGACGCUCAGGUGCGAAAGCGUGGGGAGCAAACAGGAUUAGAUACCCGGGUAGUCCCUGUCUCUUAUAC